Molecule: unclassified non-coding RNA, 395 nt
Filed under: soil metagenome
Description: partial contains 5.8S ribosomal RNA, internal transcribed spacer 2, and large subunit ribosomal RNA
Rfam family: 5.8S ribosomal RNA (bases 1-121)
Source: RNAcentral
GAUGAAGAACGUAGCGAACGUGCGAAACGUAAUGUGAAUUGCAGAAUUCAGUGAAUCAUCGAAUCUUUGAACGCAUCUUGCGCUCCUUGGUAUUCCGAGGAGCAUGCCUGUUUGAGUGUCGUGAAUACUCUCAACUUCAACCCUUUUUUCGGAAAGGGAGGAAGGUUGGACUUGGGUGUUUGUUGAAGUGCGAGCUUCGACUCAUCCUAAAUGCAUUAGCGAUCUGCCUCGAUCACACACAAUGUGAUAAUUAAAACUAAAGCAUUGUUUAAUGAUCAAGUCGAGACUGCUUCUAACUGUCGCAAGACAAUAACGUGCAUACAUUUGUGCAUGUCAUUUGACCGCAAAGCAGGUAGGACAACCCGCUGAACUUAAGCAUAUCAAUAAGCGGAGGA